RNAcentral lists this ribosomal RNA (468 nucleotides) under uncultured bacterium. RNAcentral describes it as "partial 16S ribosomal RNA". It matches the Rfam family "Bacterial small subunit ribosomal RNA", at positions 28 to 507 of the family's 1533-position model. The record is from RNAcentral.
GACGAACGCUGGCGGCGUGCUUAACACAUGCAAGUCGAACGGAAAGGCCCUGCUUUUGUGGGGUGCUCGAGUGGCGAACGGGUGAGUAACACGUGAGUAACCUGCCCUUGACUUUGGGAUAACUUCAGGAAACUGGGGCUAAUACCGGAUAGGAGCUCCUGCUGCAUGGUGGGGGUUGGAAAGUUUCGGCCGUUGGGGAUGGACUCGCGGCUUAUCAGCUUGUUGGUGGGGUAGUGGCUUACCAAGGCUUUGACGGGUAGCCGGCCUGAGAGGGUGACCGGCCACCUUGGGACUGAGAUACGGCGCAGACUCCUACGGGCGGCAGCAGUGGGGAAUAUUGCACAAUGGGCGGACGCCUGAUGCAGCAACGCUGCGUGCGGGAUGACGGCCUUCGGGUUGUAAACCGAUUUCGCCUGUGACGAAGCGUGAUUGACGGUAAUGGGUAAAGAAGCACCGGCUAACUACGUG